UAAUAGUGUAUAUUAAAGUUGUUGCAGUUAAAAAGCUCGUAGUUGAAUGUUGGUGUCGAACGAGCGGUCAGCUUCGGCUGUACUGCUCUCUCGACUCCUUCCUUCUGUGGACUACGUCGCACUUUACUGUGUGGCGCUAGGACGCAGAUCGUUUACUGCGAAAAAAUUAGAGUGUUCAAAGCAGGCCGUACGCUUGAAUACAUUAGCAUGGAAUAAUGGAAUAGGACGUCGGGCCUAUUUUGUUGGUUCUAGGACCGUCGUAAUGAUUAAUAGGGACAGUUGGGGCCGUUUAUAUUCCGUAGUCAGAGGUGAAAUUCUUGGAUUUACGGAAGAUAAACUACUGCGAAAGCAUUCGGCAAGGAUGUUUUCGUUA
Molecule: ribosomal RNA, 373 nt
Filed under: uncultured eukaryote
Lineage: Eukaryota
Description: partial 18S ribosomal RNA
Rfam family: Eukaryotic small subunit ribosomal RNA
Source: RNAcentral